UUCGUCACACUAUCAUUAACUGAAUCCAUAGGUUAAUGAGGCGAACCGGGGGAACUGAAACAUCUAAGUACCCCGAGGAAAAGAAAUCAACCGAGAUUCCCCCAGUAGCGGCGAGCGAACGGGGAGCAGCCCAGAGCCUGAAUCAGUGUGUGUGUUAGUGGAAGCGUCUGGAAAGGCGCGCGAUACAGGGUGACAGCCCCGUACACAAAAAUGCACAUGCUGUGAGCUCGAUGAGUAGGGCGGGACACGUGGUAUCCUGUCUGAAUAUGGGGGGACCAUCCUCCAAGGCUAAAUACUCCUGACUGACCGAUAGUGAACCAGUACCGUGAGGGAAAGGCGAAAAGAACCCCGGCGAGGGGAGUGAAAAAGAACCUGAAACCGU
RNAcentral lists this ribosomal RNA (382 nucleotides) under Escherichia coli. RNAcentral's name for it is "partial 23S ribosomal RNA". It matches the Rfam family "Bacterial large subunit ribosomal RNA", at positions 139 to 559 of the family's 2925-position model. Lineage: Bacteria; Pseudomonadati; Pseudomonadota; Gammaproteobacteria; Enterobacterales; Enterobacteriaceae. The record is from RNAcentral.